Molecule: small RNA, 183 nt
Filed under: Arabidopsis thaliana (thale cress)
Lineage: Eukaryota; Viridiplantae; Streptophyta; Magnoliopsida; Brassicales; Brassicaceae
Description: ATSL159220
Source: RNAcentral
AGGAAACAUUCAUGUUGGCUUUGGUGUCAAUUCGAGUUUGAAAAAGCCAUAAACUUGUACGUUCGUCAGUUUGUCAGUUCAUCAGUCCGUCAGUUCUUUCUAUUUUUCUUUAUGUUCAGUUCUUUCUAUUUCUCUUUAUGUUGAGAGUUUGAACCCAAAACUUUCUCCCCUUUCGUUCAAAUU